AGUGACCAGAAAGCAAGUGUGAGCCUUCUGUUAUGCCCGGACAGGGCCACCAGAGGGCUCCUUGGUCUAGUGGUAACGCCA
This 81-nucleotide microRNA precursor is filed under the name Cercocebus atys (sooty mangabey). Its description in RNAcentral is "miRNA (ENSCATG00000017470.1)". Lineage: Eukaryota; Metazoa; Chordata; Mammalia; Primates; Cercopithecidae. The record is from RNAcentral.